This 253-nucleotide ribosomal RNA is filed under the name uncultured bacterium. Its description in RNAcentral is "partial 16S ribosomal RNA". It matches the Rfam family "Bacterial small subunit ribosomal RNA", at positions 524 to 776 of the family's 1533-position model. The record is from RNAcentral.
UACGAAGGGGGCUAGCGUUGCUCGGAAUCACUGGGCGUAAAGCGCACGUAGGCGGCUUGUUAAGUGAGGGGUGAAAUCCUGGAGCUCAACUCCAGAACUGCCUUUCAUACUGGCAAGCUAGAGUCCGGAAGAGGUGAGUGGAACUCCUAGUGUAGAGGUGGAAUUCGUAGAUAUUAGGAAGAACACCAGUGGCGAAGGCGGCUCACUGGCCCGGUACUGACGCUGAGGCGCGAAAGCGUGGGGAGCAAACAGG